GAUGAAGAACGUAGCGAAAUGCGAUAAGUAAUGUGAAUUGCAGAAUUCAGUGAAUCAUCGAAUCUUUGAACGCACCUUGCGCCCUUUGGCUAUUCUGAAGGGCAUGCCUGUUUGAGUAUCGUGAACACCUCAACUCUCAUGGUCUGCCAUGAUGAGCUUGGACUUUGGGGGUCUUGCUGGCCUACUGUCAGCUCCUCUCAAAUGAAUCAGCUUACCAGUGUUUGGUGGCACCACAGGUGUGAUAACUAUCUACGCUUGUGGUUUUCUGCCAGGUAACCUCUAGUGAUGGAGGUUCGCUGGAGCUCACAAAUGUCUCUCCUCAGCGAGGACAGCUUUUUGAACGUUUGAUCUCAAAUCAGGUAGGACUACCCGCUGAACUUAAGCAUAUCAAUAAGCGGAGGA
This 402-nucleotide unclassified non-coding RNA is filed under the name soil metagenome. RNAcentral's name for it is "partial contains 5.8S ribosomal RNA, internal transcribed spacer 2, and large subunit ribosomal RNA". The stretch from base 1 to 121 matches the Rfam family "5.8S ribosomal RNA", at positions 35 to 154 of the family's 154-position model. The record is from RNAcentral.